ACGAACGCUGGCGGCAUGCCUAACACAUGCCGGUCGAACGCGACCUUCGGGUCUAGUGGCGCACGGGUGCGUAACGCGUGGGAACCUGCCCUUAGGUUCGGAAUAACUCCCCGAAAGGGGUGCUAAUACCGGAUAAUGUCUUCGGACCAAAGAUUUAUCGCCUUUGGAUGGGCCCGCGUUGGAUUAGCUAGUUGGUAGGGUAAAAGCCUACCAAGGCGACGAUCCAUAGCUGGUCUGAGAGGAUGAUCAGCCACACUGGGACUGAGACACGGCCCAGACUCCUACGGGAGGCAGCAGUGGGGAAUAUUGGACAAUGGGCGAAAGCCUGAUCCAGCAAUGCCGCGUGAGUGAUGAAGGCCUUAGGGUUGUAAAGCUCUUUUACCCGGGAUGAUAAUGACAGUACCGGGAGAAUAAGCUCCGGCUAACUCCGUG
RNAcentral lists this ribosomal RNA (432 nucleotides) under uncultured bacterium. Its description in RNAcentral is "partial 16S ribosomal RNA". It matches the Rfam family "Bacterial small subunit ribosomal RNA", at positions 29 to 507 of the family's 1533-position model. The record is from RNAcentral.